UACGUAGGUGGCAAGCGUUGUCCGGAUUUACUGGGCGUAAAGCGUAUGCAGGCGGAGAAGUAAGUAGGAAGUGAAAGGUUGGAGCUCAACUCUAACACUGCUCCCUAUACUGCUUUUCUUGAGUGCCGGAGAGGACAAGGGAACGGGUCGUGUAGCGGUGAAAUGCGUUGAGAUGACUCGGAACACCAAUGGCGAAAGCACUUGUCUGGACGGAAACUGACGCUGAGAUACGAAAGCCAAGGGAGCGAACAGG
This 253-nucleotide ribosomal RNA is filed under the name uncultured bacterium. Its description in RNAcentral is "partial 16S ribosomal RNA". It matches the Rfam family "Bacterial small subunit ribosomal RNA", at positions 524 to 776 of the family's 1533-position model. The record is from RNAcentral.